Molecule: ribosomal RNA, 667 nt
Filed under: Vibrio sp. PID45_49
Lineage: Bacteria; Pseudomonadati; Pseudomonadota; Gammaproteobacteria; Vibrionales; Vibrionaceae
Description: bacterial SSU rRNA
Rfam family: Bacterial small subunit ribosomal RNA
Source: RNAcentral
AGCAAACAGGAUUAGAUACCCUGGUAGUCCACGCCGUAAACGAUGUCUACUUGGAGGUUGUGGCCUUGAGCCGUGGCUUUCGGAGCUAACGCGUUAAGUAGACCGCCUGGGGAGUACGGUCGCAAGAUUAAAACUCAAAUGAAUUGACGGGGGCCCGCACAAGCGGUGGAGCAUGUGGUUUAAUUCGAUGCAACGCGAAGAACCUUACCUACUCUUGACAUCCAGAGAACUUUCCAGAGAUGGAUUGGUGCCUUCGGGAACUCUGAGACAGGUGCUGCAUGGCUGUCGUCAGCUCGUGUUGUGAAAUGUUGGGUUAAGUCCCGCAACGAGCGCAACCCUUAUCCUUGUUUGCCAGCGAGUAAUGUCGGGAACUCCAGGGAGACUGCCGGUGAUAAACCGGAGGAAGGUGGGGACGACGUCAAGUCAUCAUGGCCCUUACGAGUAGGGCUACACACGUGCUACAAUGGCGCAUACAGAGGGCGGCCAACUUGCGAAAGUGAGCGAAUCCCAAAAAGUGCGUCGUAGUCCGGAUUGGAGUCUGCAACUCGACUCCAUGAAGUCGGAAUCGCUAGUAAUCGUGGAUCAGAAUGCCACGGUGAAUAYGUUCCCGGGCCUUGUACACACCGCCCGUCACACCAUGGGAGUGGGCUGCAAAAGAAGUAGGUAG